UGGGGAAUAUUGCACAAUGGGCGAAAGCCUGAUGCAGCAACGCCGCGUGAGUGAUGAAGGCCUUCGGGUUGUAAAGCUCUGUCUUUUGGGACGAUAAUGACGGUACCAAAGGAGGAAGCCACGGCUAACUACGUGCCAGCAGCCGCGGUAAUACGUAGGUGGCAAGCGUUGUCCGGAUUUACUGGGCGUAAAGGAUGCGUAGGCGGAUUUUUAAGUGAGAUGUGAAAACCCUAAGCUUAACUUGGGGACUGCAUUUCAUACUGGAAAUCUAGAGUGCGGGAGAGGAGAAUGGAAUUCCUAGUGUAGCGGUGAAAUGCGUAGAGAUUAGGAAGAACACCAGUGGCGAAGGCGAUUCUCUGGACCGUAACUGACGCUGAGGCAUGAAAGCGUGGGUAGCAAACAGGAUUAGAUACCCUGGUAGUCCACGCCGUAAACGAUGAGUACUAGGUGUAGGAGGUAUCGACCCCUUCUGUGCCGCAGUUAACACAAUAAGUACUCCGCCUGGGAAGUACGAUCGCAAGAUUAAAAACUCAAAGGAAUUGACGGGGUCAUAGCUG
Molecule: ribosomal RNA, 557 nt
Filed under: uncultured bacterium
Lineage: Bacteria
Description: partial 16S ribosomal RNA
Rfam family: Bacterial small subunit ribosomal RNA
Source: RNAcentral